AUUGAACGCUGGCGGCAGGCUUAACACAUGCAAGUCGAGCGAGCGGCGGACGUGUGAGUAAUGUCUGGGAAACUGCCUGAUGGAGGGGGAUAACUACUGGAACCGGUAGCUAAUACCGCAUACCAUCGGAUGUUCCCAUCUGGGAUUAGCUAGUAGGGGGGGUAAUGGCUCACCUAGGCGACGAUCCCUAGAUGGUCUGAGAGGAUGACAAGCCACACGGGAACUGAGACACGGUCCAGACUCCUAAGUGAGGAAGCAGUGGGGAAGAUUGCACAAUGGGAGAAAGCGUGAUACAGCCAGGCCGCGUGUGUGAAGAAGGCCUUCGGGUUGUAAAGCACUUUCAGCGAGGAGGCGUUACUCGCAGAAGAAGCACCGGCUAACUCCGUGCCAGCAGCCGCGGUAAUUC
Molecule: ribosomal RNA, 406 nt
Filed under: uncultured bacterium
Lineage: Bacteria
Description: partial 16S ribosomal RNA
Rfam family: Bacterial small subunit ribosomal RNA
Source: RNAcentral